GACAGCAGUAGCCGCGGUAAUGCGUAGGUGGCAAGCGUUGUCCGGAAUUAUUGGGCGUAAAGGGCUCGCAGGCGGUUUCUUAAGUCUGAUGUGAAAGCCCCCGGCUCAACCGGGGAGGGUCAUUGGAAACUGGGAAACUUGAGUGCAGAAGAGGAGAGUGGAAUCCCACGUGUAGCGGUGAAAUGCGUAGAGAUGUGGAGGAACACCAGUGGCGAAGGCGACUCUCUGGUCUGUAACUGACGCUGAGGAGCGAAAGCGUGGGGAGCGAACAGGAUUAGAUACCCCCGUAGUCCCUGUCUCUUAUAC
RNAcentral lists this ribosomal RNA (306 nucleotides) under uncultured bacterium. RNAcentral's name for it is "partial 16S ribosomal RNA". It matches the Rfam family "Bacterial small subunit ribosomal RNA", at positions 507 to 807 of the family's 1533-position model. The record is from RNAcentral.